GAUGAACGCUGGCGGCGUGCCUAAUACAUGCAAGUCGAGCGAACGGACGAGAAGCUUGCUUCUCUGAUGUUAGCGGCGGACGGGUGAGUAACACGUGGAUAACCUACCUAUAAGACUGGGAUAACUUCGGGAAACCGGAGCUAAUACCGGAUAAUAUUUUGAACCGCAUGGUUCAAAAGUGAAAGACGGUCUUGCUGUCACUUAUAGAUGGAUCCGCGCUGCAUUAGCUAGUUGGUAAGGUAACGGCUUACCAAGGCAACGAUGCAUAGCCGACCUGAGAGGCUGAUAGCCCACACUGGAACUGAGACACGGUCCAGACUCCUACGGGAGGCAGCAGUAGGGAAUCUUCCGCAAUGGGCGAAAGCCUGACGGAGCAACGCCGCGUGAGUGAUGAAGGUCUUCGGAUCGUAAAACUCUGUUAUUAGGGAAGAACAUAUGUGUAAGUAACUGUGCACAUCUUGACGGUACCUAAUCAGAAAGCCACGGCUAACUACGUG
RNAcentral lists this ribosomal RNA (497 nucleotides) under uncultured bacterium. RNAcentral describes it as "partial 16S ribosomal RNA". It matches the Rfam family "Bacterial small subunit ribosomal RNA", at positions 28 to 507 of the family's 1533-position model. The record is from RNAcentral.